CCUUCAGGUCCCUCCUCUCCAGGUGGAUCAGUUCGGCCCCACGGACAUCGUGCCCCAUGAAGAUGUCUUGAUACUCGUUGAGAGAGAGAAAGCCCAGCCACGCCCCCACCUCCUCCGUCCCCCACUGGUGGACUGAGAGACCAACAGGAAGUGGGUCAGGUAAACAGGAAGUGGGUCCGGUAGACAUAGGGUAUGUCUCAAUUCCUCGGCUGUCCCGUUCCAUCGGCUCCGGAGCCGGUUUGGAGGACACAUCUGGUCUCUCCUUUGCAGCCCAGCAUAUCCCAGCAUGCAGUGCGGGUGAUCCAGCAGCACAGAGUUCACUUUUAAAUGUUACGUAACCAGUGUCGAGUUUUAAAUACACAUAAGACGCAAGAACAAAGUGGUCUUAGUUAUAACGUAACUCCGUCCU
Molecule: long non-coding RNA, 409 nt
Organism: Gasterosteus aculeatus aculeatus (three-spined stickleback)
Lineage: Eukaryota; Metazoa; Chordata; Actinopteri; Perciformes; Gasterosteidae
Source: Ensembl